GAAAUGCGAUAAGUAGUGUGAAUUGUAGAAUUCAGUGAAUCAUCGAAUCUUUGAACGCACAUUGCGCCCCUUGGUAUUCCAUGGGGCAUGCCUGUUCGAGUGUCAUUUGUACCCUCAAGCUCUGCUUGGUGUUGGGUGUUUGUCCCCGUCUCCGCGCGUGGACUCGCCCCAAAGUGAUUGGCAGCCGGCGUACUGGUCCCGGAGCGCAGCACAUGUCGCGCAAACGAGUGCCUUGGUACGGCGGCGUCCAUAAGCCCCUCUCUCACGCUCUUGACCUCGGAUCAGGUAGGGAUACCCGCUGAACUUAAGC
Molecule: unclassified non-coding RNA, 310 nt
Filed under: plant metagenome
Description: partial contains 5.8S ribosomal RNA, internal transcribed spacer 2, and large subunit ribosomal RNA
Rfam family: 5.8S ribosomal RNA (bases 1-105)
Source: RNAcentral